GACGAAGGUGGCGAGCGUUGUUCGGAUUCACUGGGCGUAAAGGGUGCGUAGGCGGUCGGGUAAGUCUGGCGUGAAAUCUCCAAGCCUAACUUGGAAACUGCGUUGGAUACUAUCCGGCUCGAGGAAUGGAGGGGAGACUGGAAUACUUGGUGUAGCAGUGAAAUGCGUAGAUAUCAAGUGGAACACCAGUGGCGAAGGCGAGUCUCUGGACAUUUCCUGACGCUGAGGCACGAAAGCCAGGGGAGCAAACGGG
RNAcentral lists this ribosomal RNA (253 nucleotides) under uncultured bacterium. Its description in RNAcentral is "partial 16S ribosomal RNA". It matches the Rfam family "Bacterial small subunit ribosomal RNA", at positions 524 to 776 of the family's 1533-position model. The record is from RNAcentral.